Molecule: ribosomal RNA, 246 nt
Filed under: uncultured bacterium
Lineage: Bacteria
Description: partial small subunit ribosomal RNA
Rfam family: Bacterial small subunit ribosomal RNA
Source: RNAcentral
AGAAUCAACGCUGGCGGCGUGCCUAACACAUGCAAGUCGAACGAGAAAGUGGAGCAAUCCAUGAGUAAAGUGGCGACCGGGUGAGUAACACGUGACUAACCUACCUUCGAGUGGGGGAUAACCUCGGGAAACCGAGGCUAAUACCGCAUAACAUCGUGAGAUCAAAAGCAGUAAUGCGCUUGGAGAGGAGUUCGCGGCAGAUUAGUUAGUUGGCGGGGUAAUGGCCCACCAAGACGAUGAUCUGUA